Dipodomys ordii (Ord's kangaroo rat) is the source of this 107-nucleotide small nuclear RNA. Lineage: Eukaryota; Metazoa; Chordata; Mammalia; Rodentia; Heteromyidae. The record is from Ensembl.
GUGCUCGCUUUGGCAGCACAUAUACUAAAAUUGGAACGAUACAGAGAAGAUGAGCAUGGUCCCUGUGCAAGGAUGACACGCACAUUCGUGAAGCGUUCCACAUUUUU